RNAcentral lists this ribosomal RNA (787 nucleotides) under uncultured delta proteobacterium. RNAcentral describes it as "bacterial SSU rRNA". It matches the Rfam family "Bacterial small subunit ribosomal RNA", at positions 58 to 860 of the family's 1533-position model. The record is from RNAcentral. Lineage: Bacteria; Deltaproteobacteria.
CAAGUCGAACGAGAAAGUUCCUUCGGGAGCGAUUAAAGUGGCGCACGGGUGAGUAACGCGUAGACAAUCUGCCCUUCAGUCUGGGACAACUUUUCGAAAGGAGAGCUAAUACCGGAUAACAAUGUUUAACCUAAGUUAAGUAUUUGAAAGCUUUAUGUGCUGAAGGAGGGGUCUGCGUCCCAUUAGCUAGUUGGUAAGGUAAAGGCUUACCAAGGCGACGAUGGGUAGCGGGUUUGAGAGGACGAUCCGCCACACUGGAACUGAGACACGGUCCAGACUCCUACGGGAGGCAGCAGUGGGGAAUAUUGCACAAUGGAGGCAACUCUGAUGCAGCAAUGUCGCGUGAGUGAAGAAGGCCCUUGGGUCGUAAAGCUCUUUUAUGGGGGAAGAUGAUGACGGUACCCCAAGAAUAAGCACCGGCUAACUAUGUGCCAGCAGCCGCGGUAAUACAUAGGGUGCGAGCGUUGUUCGGAAUUACUGGGCGUAAAGGGCGCGCAGGCGGAAUAGUAAGUCGGAGGUGAAAGCCCGGGGCUCAACCCCGGAGGGUCUUUCGAAACUGCUAAUCUAGAGAGGGUCAGGGGCCGGCAGAAUUCCUGGUGUAGAGGUGAAAUUCGUAGAUAUCAGGAGGAAUACCGGUGGCGAAGGCGGCCGGCUGGGGCCACUCUGACGCUGAGGCGCGAAAGCGUGGGGAGCAAACAGGAUUAGAUACCCUGGUAGUCCACGCCGUAAACGAUGAGCACUGGACGUCCGGAGGGUUCGACCCUUCUGGGUGUUUCAGCUAACGCAU